GAUGAAGAACGCAGCGAAAUGCGAUAAGUAAUGUGAAUUGCAGAAUUCAGUGAAUCAUCGAAUCUUUGAACGCACAUUGCGCCCGCUAGUAUUCUGGCGGGCAUGCCUGUCCGAGCGUCAUUUCAACCCUCAAGCCCCCGGGCUUGGUGUUGGGGAUCGGCGAGCCUCCGCGCCCGCCGUCCCCUAAAUCUAGUGGCGGUCUCGCUGUAGCUUCCUCUGCGUAGUAGCACACCUCGCACUGGGAAACAGCGCGGCCACGCCGUUAAACCCCCAACUUCUGAACGUUUGACCUCGGAUCAGGUAGGAAUACCCGCUGAACUUAAGCAUAUCCAAUAAGCGGAGGA
This 344-nucleotide unclassified non-coding RNA is filed under the name soil metagenome. RNAcentral's name for it is "partial contains 5.8S ribosomal RNA, internal transcribed spacer 2, and large subunit ribosomal RNA". The stretch from base 1 to 120 matches the Rfam family "5.8S ribosomal RNA", at positions 35 to 154 of the family's 154-position model. The record is from RNAcentral.